GACGAACGCUGGCGGUGUGCUUAACACAUGCAAGUCGAACGGUAAGGCCCUUUCGGGGGUACACGAGUGGCGAACGGGUGAGUAACACGUGAGUAACCUGCCCUCAUCUCUGGGAUAACAGUCGGAAACGGGUGCUAAUACUGGAUAUGAGCUUGCAAGGCAUCUUGUGGGUUGGAAAGAUUUUUUUUGGUUGGGGAUGGACUCGCGGCCUAUCAGCUUGUUGGUGAGGUAGUGGCUCACCAAGGCUUCGACGGGUAGCCGGCCUGAGAGGGCGACCGGCCACAUUGGGCCUCUGAUACGGCCCACACUCCUACGGGGGGCAGCAGUGGGGAAUAUUGCACAAUGGACGGAAGUCUGAGGCAGCAACGCCGCGUGCGGGAUGACGGCCUUCGGGUUGUAAACCGCUUUCAAUUGUGACGAAGCGUUUUUGUGACGGUAGCAGUAGAAGAAGCACCGGCUAACUACGUG
RNAcentral lists this ribosomal RNA (468 nucleotides) under uncultured bacterium. RNAcentral describes it as "partial 16S ribosomal RNA". It matches the Rfam family "Bacterial small subunit ribosomal RNA", at positions 28 to 507 of the family's 1533-position model. The record is from RNAcentral.